UUUAAUGUAUAAUUUCUUAAAAGUACAAAAAUGUAUUGAGUAUUCAAUUAGUUUUUAUUGAUAUCAUUAACAUUCUUAAAAUGAGGUAAAUAUAAAUUGUUGUUGUAAUCUUAAUGCAAUUAAUCCAUCUUUUUCUUUGCUGUCAAGGAAAAGUGUUAUGAGAUUAACAACUAAAGUCAUCAGUUGAGAACCAAUAUCGAGCCAAUGUCAAGGAAAAGUGUUAUGAGAUUAACAACUAAAGUCAUCAGUUGAGAACCAAUAUCGAGCCACAUAGAGUUCCGCCCAUUUUUUAAAGUAGUUUUAACGUCCG
This 310-nucleotide long non-coding RNA is filed under the name Lathyrus oleraceus (garden pea). Its description in RNAcentral is "Pisum sativum (pea) long non-coding RNA (PSAT_LNC019202)". The record is from RNAcentral. Lineage: Eukaryota; Viridiplantae; Streptophyta; Magnoliopsida; Fabales; Fabaceae.